UGUUCGGGUUGUCAUGCCAAUGGCACUGCCCGGUAGCUAAAUGCGGAAGAGAUAAGUGCUGAAAGCAUCUAAGCACGAAACUUGCCCCGAGAUGAGUUCUCCCUGAGACUUUAAGUCUCCUGAAGGAACGUUGAAGACGACGACGUUGAUAGGCCGGGUGUGUAAGCGCAGCGAUGCGUUGAGCUAACCGGUACUAAUGAACCGUGAGGCUUAACCUU
This 218-nucleotide ribosomal RNA is filed under the name Escherichia coli. RNAcentral's name for it is "partial 23S ribosomal RNA". It matches the Rfam family "Bacterial large subunit ribosomal RNA", at positions 2713 to 2925 of the family's 2925-position model. RNAcentral also lists the same sequence under 4 other names. The record is from RNAcentral. Lineage: Bacteria; Pseudomonadati; Pseudomonadota; Gammaproteobacteria; Enterobacterales; Enterobacteriaceae.